Molecule: non-coding RNA, 2362 nt
Organism: Peromyscus maniculatus bairdii (prairie deer mouse)
Lineage: Eukaryota; Metazoa; Chordata; Mammalia; Rodentia; Cricetidae
Source: RefSeq, a predicted model, not a curated record
AUAAAUAAAUAAAUAAAUAAAUAAAUUAAAAAAAAAAAAAAAAAAAAACUUCAAAGCAUGUUCUAAGAUGUUAUGGUUUGAAUCUGCAAUGCCCCCACAGGACCAUGUGUUGAGCCUUGGUCCCUCAUUUUCGUUUGCAGCUAUAGGUAGAGCCCUUAGGAGGUGGGCCCUGGUUGGCAGAAGUGGACCACUUCAAGUGGGGUUUUCAAAGUUACAACUGUCCAUGCUCCUGCCCUGCAUGUCCUGCUUAUUUGUGCAUUAUGAGGUGACUCUGCCACGCACUCCUGCUUGUGACCUGCUCCCCCAUGCCUCCCUCACUGUGAUGGACUGCAACUCUCUGAACUAGGAUGAUUAUCAACACUGUUCCAGGUGGCUCUUGAGGACUGUGUCUCUAAAAUGCUCCUGCUUGCUCCAGGUUCCCUGUUCGUGCUGUCUCAGAAUAGACCUGAUCCCAUGCCCUGACCGCACUGCCCAGCCCGCAGCUUUUGUAGAGGCCCUUUGCACCAUCGGUAUUAUCAUUAGAUACAUGUACAAAAGAAGAGUCCUCACCCCUCAUCGCAGGAAGACUAGUAGAUAAUUUUUAAAUAUGAUAUCUAUAAUACUAACGUUCUGAUGGAAAGUGUAUGUACAGAAGCACAUUUGGUUUCAUAAUAUUCCCAAGGCUUGGCUAGCUGAGACAGUCUUCUCCAGAGAGUUGUUUUUGUAACAAUUAUAGAGAACGUGAGAAAGGCCUUUCACAAGUUGAGACAUAAUUUAGUGUGAACAGAUCUCCAAGAAGAUCUGUUUUGCAAAUUAUAUUUCCUGUGCUCAUUUUAAAUGACUACAUAAAGAAAUUCUAUAUAACAUUUCAAAAAGAUUGUACUCUGUUGACCAUUUUUCUGUGUCAUGUUUAAAAGACAACGAAGCCCAUAAUGUGGUAUGCUUCGGUGGAAGCUUCCCAGUCAGCCAUCUCAAUGACACGUGGAUGAAGCCCCUCAGCCAGCCCGCUCCAUCCACUGCAUGAAGACACAGUGGACAUAAAAUCAAGCAGGGCCCGAAGCAGAGCAGCAAGGCACAAAGGGUGCAGCAGAUAACUCCGUGAAAGCACACAACAAAGGAGGGCAGGUCUCCCUUGCAGAAUUCAAACAAGCUGGAGCACCAUUUCACCAGGUGCUUUCCCAUUUCAGAUCACUGGUGCCGGCAGCAGCAACAAAUUAAAACAAACAAACCAAAAGCAGAGCUUAAUCACUCUUAAAAUGCUAUUAUCUUAAGUAUUUUUACAAAACACUAGAUUUUCUGAUGGAAAAAUAGCAUUCCAGUUUAUUUCUCUCAUGUGUAUAAAAAGAGAAGUGACAAGUUUAUAGAAUAAACAAACUUUUAUUUUAUAACAGUAUUACAUAAAGCAAAAUACCAUUUAAUACAACUUGAAGCUGCUAUAAAUCUAAUCUUGCAUCAUAACUAUACAGAGUCAAAAGCAAAUGAAAAACAUGUUCAAGACAGUUAAUAAGUCCCUCUCAGGUCUCUGGUGUCAGCUUUAAAUGGUAUAGCUUUCAUAUAACCAACACAAUCCCACCACUGUCCCCUACCCUCUUCUCCGCAGCUUCCUCAACCCUGCGAGUCAUCCAACUAUCUUAAAGAGAUAUACCUGCUCAGUAACAAAGGGUCAGUUUUACAUGUAGACAAAGAAGUUUAAUACAUAGCAAGUGCUCUACUCAAGUGUUCAGAUAAUGGGAAGUAUCGAAACUGGAAAGGUUAAGAAGGAAAGCACUAAGGCUUUAAGCUGCCUGAUUUCUUUUAGUAGGAAGAGGGAAGGGCACCUUCUGUGGUUCUCCUCCUGUUCUGGAAUGCUGUGGCAAAGCAUAGGUCUGAGAAGUACUGCACUGUGGGUGACGGUCUCUGAACACAGUGCUUGGUCAGUGAGCUUCGGAAUUCUCCAGUCCAGAGUCUCUGACUCCACUAAAGUACAAAGUCACAGGACUGGAAAGUCAAAGGGCUCAGUAUAAAAAUCAUUCGGAGUGAAAGUCCCAAAUAUUAGAAAAUUUUCAAGAUGUAAGAAAUGCUUUUAAUUGGUAUUAAUAUGUUCUCAUGCAAUGUAUUUACUGCAAUCUCAAAACUGUAAAUAUGGACUGUAAGAAUUCAAUGGAAACAAUCCUGAAGAAUGAAAAUUACUAUCUAAAUUAGUCACAGAGUUUCCUUUCCACAUAACAGCACCUGUUCAAGUGAACAGCACCUUACCAGCCUGGGCUGGCUUUGUUCACUGUCAUUUGAGCAAAUGAGUCAUACAAAGCAGUAGGAAAGGGAAACAAAUAUAAAACGCUUAACAAAAAAAAACAAAGAAUUAAAAAAAAAAAGACAGAGGGAAAGAAAGAAAGAAAAGAGGAAG